AUGGACUCUCCCUCGCCCUUUCCUGGACACGGGCGGACCCGGGAGCUUCGCUGGCGCGAUGCCAGCCCGGCCGGCUCCCCGGCCUCGCCCCGCCCCGCCUCCUACGCCCAAGCGGCGGCCCUACCCCUGUCGCCUUCCCCUCCGGCCGCCUGUCCGCAUCCACGCUCCGAGAUCCACCGGGUAUCUCCGGCGGAGGAGCCUCUGGAUCUGCCGGCGGGCUGGACUGAGGUCCGUGGCGGGGGCCGCGACCGCCGUCCUCGCCCGCGUCCGCGUCCUCCUCGCCGCGACCGCACCGCCCUCCGUCGAGAUCCCGCCUCCCCGCGGCCGGCUGAGUGCCCGCGCUGUCUCAGCUCCUCCCCCGACCACCGCCCUGCAGAGUGCCGUCGCGAUGUGCGCUGCCGGCGUUGCCGCCACUAUGGCCAUGUCGCUCGGUUCUGCACCGCGCCGCACCCCCACCCCUCUGGUUCGCCGCCUCACAAACGGCUCUGCGCCCACUCCCCCGGGUCUUCUGCGGCGAGCAUUGCCGGACCAUCGGGCCCCGCGUCCUCCGGGGCUCGGUCCGUGCCGGCCUCGCCUAUGACCUCGGCGUCCGCCUCUCUGCCCACGGCUUCGCCGCGAGUCUCCCGCCGGCAUCGUCCUCCCCCUGGUAGCGCGGUCCGGUCCGUCCAUGGCAGCUGCCUCCCGAUGUCCGGCCAUCCCUUCCCGCGGCCCGCGGCGGAGAUCUGUUACCUCCCCUGGAGUGAGGAGAUGACGGUGGCCGAGCUGGAGCUACAGUCUGCGCUCGUGGCUACCGUGGCUGGCAACCAUGGUGGCAUCUUCGUUGAGGAGGUCUCCGUGGCGCUCAUGGAGCGUUUCAACCUCAAUCGCUGCGCGUUCUCCGUGCACCGCCACUUCCCCGAUGACUUUCUCAUCUGCUUCCGGACCAGGGAGGACCGUUCCCGGGUGGCGGCUGGUAGCCUCCACGCCCCUCACUUCCGGCUGGUGUUUACCCCCUGGAGCCACCUCGCCGGCGGUGAGCCGGUGACUGCUCGUUUUUGUGUGCGCAUCUCCAUCCACGGCAUCCUCGACCAUGCCUGGUCUUGCUCCGCCGCCGAAUUCAUCCUCACACCCUUCUGCCUCAUCGACAACCUGGCGCUUGAGACAAGCUCCGGCCAGGACAUGUCGGAAUUUCGGCUGUUGGCUUGGACCGCCAACCCCGACUGGAUUUCGCGCUCGUCUGAGCUCCUCUUGCCAGUGUGCGGCGGGAUUGAUCAUCACGCCGACCCGGAUCACGUCUUCCGAUUCGGGAGGUCGCUCAUCCGCUUCCCGGUCUCCAUCCACGUCGAGGAGACCGAGGACUAUCGUCUUCCGAGCCCUCCUCCGCCGCCAGACGCCGGCCUGGGUGAUCCUGACGCCCCUGGUCGUGGUCCCCCCCCGGUCCCGGGCCCAUGGCCCCGUCGCCAUGAGCACCCCCCCUCUGCCUGUUGA
RNAcentral lists this ribosomal RNA (1467 nucleotides) under Triticum aestivum (bread wheat). RNAcentral describes it as "partial small subunit ribosomal RNA". Lineage: Eukaryota; Viridiplantae; Streptophyta; Magnoliopsida; Poales; Poaceae. The record is from RNAcentral.